Globicephala melas (long-finned pilot whale) is the source of this 404-nucleotide long non-coding RNA. RefSeq lists it as uncharacterized. NCBI's taxonomy places the organism in Eukaryota, Metazoa, Chordata, Mammalia, Artiodactyla, Delphinidae. The record is from RefSeq and is a predicted model, not a curated record.
GCCGGAAACGAACCCGUCCUCUGGAGCGGAAAGCUGCCGGCUUGUUGGGUGCUAGCAAGAACCUAUCCAGGGUCGAGGUUCGGUGUGUUUGUUUCCACGUGCCUCUGUCCUAACCGGCUCCGCCCCCAAAUUUUCACGUGUACAAGCUCGCCUUCCGCGCCAACUGUUGGAGUUCACCGUGGUGACCAUCUGACAUGUCUCAAACAGCUGCCUCAAAGCAUCCCUCCUCCAGGUGCCCCCUUCCCACCUUCCAGGGGUUAUAAAACAAGCAAACACACAAAGGAGAAUAUGCGACAGAAACUAGAUGUCCACCCUGUGGCCAUGUGUGAUCUGUGAACCAUCUCUUCUGUUGGCUGCAGGAAUCCUGGUGAAAGGUGGCUUUUCUUCCAUCCAGGCAGCAGUGA